UAGUGGCGCACGGGUGAGUAACGCGUGGGAACCUACCUUUCAGUUCGGGAUAACAGUUGGAAACGACUGCUAAUACCGUAUACGCCCUCCGGGGGAAAGGUCAGCCGCUGAAAGAGGGGCCCGCGUCUGAUUAGCUUGUUGGUAGGGUAAAAGCCUACCAAGGCUACGAUCAGUAGCUGGUCUGAGAGGAUGAUCAGCCACACUGGGACUGAGACACGGCCCAGACUCCUACGGGAGGCAGCAGUCGGGAAUAUUGGACAAUGGAGGAAACUCUGAUCCAGCAAUGCCGCGUGUGUGAUGAAGGCCCUAGGGUUGUAAAGCACUUUCAACGGUGAAGAUGAUGACGGUAGCCGUAGAAGAAGCCCCGGCUAACUUCGUGCCAGCAGCCGCGGUAAUACGAAGGGGGCGAGCGUUGUUCGGAAUUAUUGGGCGUAAAGGGCGCGCAGGCGGUUUGGAUAGUUAGACGUGAAAGCCCUGGGCUUAACCUAGGAACUGCGUUUAAUACUGCCAAACUAGAGAACUAGAGAGGAUAGCGGAACUCCCAGUGUAGAGGUGAAAUUCGUAGAUAUUGGGAAGAACAUCAGUGGCGAAAGCGGCUGUCUGGCUAGUUUCUGACGCUGAGGCGCGAAAGCGUGGGGAGCAAACAGGAU
RNAcentral lists this ribosomal RNA (650 nucleotides) under uncultured marine bacterium. Its description in RNAcentral is "bacterial SSU rRNA". It matches the Rfam family "Bacterial small subunit ribosomal RNA", at positions 93 to 778 of the family's 1533-position model. The record is from RNAcentral.